CAGCAGCCGCCGCGGGAAAACGUAGGUGGCAAGCGUUGUCCGGAAUUAUUGGGCGUAAAGGGCUCGCAGGCGGUUUCUUAAGUCUGAUGUGAAAGCCCCCGGCUCAACCGGGGAGGGUCAUUGGAAACUGGGAAACUUGAGUGCAGAAGAGGAGAGUGGAAUUCCACGUGUAGCGGUGAAAUGCGUGGAGAUGUGGAGGAACACCAGUGGCGAAGGCGACUCUCUGGUCUGUAACUGACGCUGAGGAACGAAAGCGUGGGGGGCGAACAGGAUUAGAUACCCGAGUAGUCCCUGUCUCUUAUAC
Molecule: ribosomal RNA, 304 nt
Filed under: uncultured bacterium
Lineage: Bacteria
Description: partial 16S ribosomal RNA
Rfam family: Bacterial small subunit ribosomal RNA
Source: RNAcentral